GUCGGGGCAGAUAUAGCACUUCAAAGGAAAGACAGCAGAUAAGCAUUUACGUCAAAUACUGCCGGAGCUUCAUCAAGAACUGAACAUAUGGUGCACCAAUCAAGGAGUGUUGUAGCUGAAUUAUUUCCUGACUGUUUGUUGUCUGACCGUCCCAGUCGAAAUAGUGCAUGUUAGAGGUUUGGUUUGGUUUCUUAAGCCAGCAGUGGCCACUGAGUUGACCUCACUUUGUGGAUGGCGGUGGUGAGGUGGCUGGGUUUGUGUGGUGGGUUGAUCACUUUAUUUUUUGGUUAUUUUUUUAGGCUUGCUGUGUGAUUGCUGUGAGCUUGACUGCUGUGAGAACA
Molecule: long non-coding RNA, 341 nt
Organism: Labeo rohita (rohu)
Lineage: Eukaryota; Metazoa; Chordata; Actinopteri; Cypriniformes; Cyprinidae
Exons: 3
Source: RefSeq, a predicted model, not a curated record